This 469-nucleotide ribosomal RNA is filed under the name uncultured bacterium. Its description in RNAcentral is "bacterial SSU rRNA". It matches the Rfam family "Bacterial small subunit ribosomal RNA", at positions 29 to 507 of the family's 1533-position model. The record is from RNAcentral.
AAUGAACGUUGGCGGCGUGGAUUAGGCAUGCAAGUCGUGCGGAAAGGCUCCUUCGGGAGUACUCGAGCGGCGAAAGGGAGAGUAACGCGUGGAUUAUCUAACCCCCUGGUCCGGGAUAGCGGCGGGAAACUGCCGGUAAUACCGGAUAACAUCUCCGGAUCAAAGGUGUGAUUCCGCCGGGGAUGGGUCCGCGUCCUAUUAGCUAGUUGGUGGGGUAAUGGCCUACCAAGGCUCAGAUGGGUACCGGGUGUGAGAGCAUGACCCGGCUCACUGGGACUGAGACACUGCCCAGACACCUACGGGUGGCUGCAGUCGAGAAUCUUCGGCAAUGGACGCAAGUCCGACCGAGCGACGCCGCGUGCGGGAUGAAGGCCCUCGGGUUGUAAACCGCUGUCAGAGGGGAUGAAAUGCCAGGUGGCAAUCCACCUGGUUUGACAUAUCCUCAAAGGAAGUACGGGCUAAGUUCGUG